CGUGCGUGUGCUUGUCUUCGACGCGACAAGGCUUUGCGGUGACAUCCCGCUGCUUUUCAAUGGGACAGCUGUGCGUGUGUGUUUGUGUGCGUGAGUGUGAGGGCGUCCCUACGUGGCGCAGGCUGCCUGGCAACUGUCCUCUCAUUGGUCCGCUGUCCGACCGCCUCCGACCAAUAGUGUGAGAGCCGUGAUGCGGAAGUCAACGGCUGACAAAAACCACAAUGGGUGAAGACGAGGAGGGGGGCAAAAAACAACCUCGACACUGUGGGAAAGUUUUGGCAAGACUAGGUUUAAAGUGUUAGAAGUGGUAAGUUUUUUUUUUUUUUGUAGUUUGAACAGUGAAUGUAAGCAUUCCAAACAACUUUACUGAGCACAUAUGAAAUUAUCUGUCUAUAUAGUCAGACCAUGUUCACAAACAAUUGCCCUUCUUAGGUGAGAGAAUUCACUUUUCACCAAAUAGUUCCCCCCUCGUUUUCCUUAAAAUUGAUAAGCAUGGCUGUAAUCUGUGACAUUUUCAAAAGUCAAAUACAAAAAUCCCCCCCCCCCCCAAAAAUCUUAUUCGACCUGUGGAUGGUCAAAUGAAAUAAAAGCCUUAUGAACACAUUUCUUUGGGCCAUUUGGAGUGACUAACCAAGGGGAUGGCUUUAUUUGUCACAGGCUUUUCGGUUUGGCAAGCCGGGACUUGCCGCAGCCGAACCUGCGUUUGCAACAGCUUGGAGUGGGCUUUUGUGGGAUUUGAGUCUCAUCUCAGGGGGAUAAUGGAUGUUUGUUUUCACUGCGGGCCGUGACGCACGUGCUAGCUCGCCUGGGAGGCAGGGACAAGAAAGGUUGCAGAAAAUCUACCCUAUUCGGCAAAAUUUUGUGGAUUGUGUACAUGACCAGUGUUGAUUGACUAACUAAUUUAUCCUGUAAUUUCCCCACAGUAUCGCUUGGUGCUGCAGUUACAGCUUCUUAUGAAACCGACAUGACCGACCUGAAUCGAGAGAAGUGGCAGCGGUCCUCAAGGACUUUCCCCGACGGUCAUCUGACUCAUGGAGGUCAAUCAGCAUGGCUCUGAGAAGAACAACUACAGCAGUGCCAACACCCUCGGAUAAAACCAGAAAUAUGCCGCAGACGACGGAGUGAGUAAACAGCAUCCGCGCACGAGUUUUCACAGCAGAGCGAAGAGUCGCAGCGCUGCGACAUUCCCGACCCUCGGAGCAGCUUUUGCGUCCCACUGAGAGGCUCUUGUUGCUUUUAAGAGAGGUCAGCACUUCAACUGGCUUCUCACAGAGACGCUCUUGUUUUUUUUUUCCCCCCCCCCACAUUCCCAAAACAACCGUGGUGGCGAGCCAUUAAGAAGCCAAACGUGUUGGGUGCAGUGUCGGGCGGGGGGGUUGAAAAAUAUUGGAAAAGCAGGAAGGGGGGAUUAGAAAAGAGAAGGGUUGUAGAUCUUUUCCAUAUGAGAGGCCUUAUGGAGUGGUGUGCAUCUCCCCACUCGCUCUUAAUUGCGCGCGUUCAUGUUGUGCACACUGGGAACUAUUUGUUUAGUCGCCGUGAUAUUACGCGCCGUCCGUGAGUACCGGCACGCACAGAAAACAUUUGUCUCCUGCGCGAUUCGUACAAGUCGUAACUUACUCGGCCUCCACCUCCUUUGUCUGUUUUAUGUGCGCUUCCACCCCCUCGACACAAGUAGGCCAAUAUAGCGGCGCGCAGGAAUGCGAGGCAUGGGUGGAACCCACUCUGGCCGCUGCCAAAAGUGGGUGGAGGUGUUGUGGCACAAAUAUCCCCCUGCGUACAGCCCCCCCCUCCCCACUCCAACCACCGACAGCUGCGAAGUUAGUGUGGCUCGCGCUGACUGACUCAUUGUCCGUAUCGUAGACGAUGCCACAUUUGUGAAAUGAACUUUAGGAAUGUUACAUUUCUCACGGCUUUGCGUGGCCAGUCAGUGAUAUGAAAACGGUGUUGGCUAAUGCCAGCUUUGUCACUAUGAAACGGAGCCUCAGCAGCUGUCCAGACCGCGUUGUAGCUCCUCCCAGCGCAAAGACGCCCAAAACAAGGUUAUUUGGUACCUUUCACUGGUACGUCGCUCCAUUUUUUUCACCCGACCCCUGUGUUGUUUGUCUUUGACUGAGAAGUAAUCUGAUAUGUAAUUAGUAAUAUAUUAGUGCCAUCGGGAAAUGAGUUUGCCAUGGUUAGUCAUUAAGCCGCCACUUUAUGUAGGGCGUUCUGUUAUCUCCAGCUCACUGCCACAGCCGGAUUAUCUCCCGGGGGCAAAACAAGAAGUUUGGAAUACGACGUUCAUGAAUAAAUGAGCUUUAAUCAUUCGAUUAAAACCUUUACCGCUUCGUUUGUAGUCCGAGCUAAUGAGCGACUUGUGUGCUCUUCCACGUACGUGCCCGCUCGCAUGUGUUCGUCGGCAAAUGUACCCGUUCUGCAGCGGCACAGUGUGUUCUCGACCCGUUUACACCGAUGUGUUUUCCACUAACGUGUGUCUGCCGCAGACUGUUACAUCUCAACUCCGGGUGUUUUGAUAGUGUUUGACAACGUGUGUGUGUGUGUGUGUGCACAGAUGUACUCAUUGUGGGGAGGAUGAGGCCUACAUCUUCCUGUCAGCUAUCUUACUUCUUUUAUAAACUUUCCCUUUUAUGCGACGCGCUAGCUCCCCCUACUUCCUUUGGGCUCUUAUCCCCAAUUCACUUCGUUCCGUCGCCUCCCGCAUUACCCCCCCAUUGUGCAGCUGACUCUUGCCAUCGUUGCGUCGCUUCACAUCUUCACUUGUGACGUAAACAAGUAACAGCUGAGGUGCUGUGUUCUCUCGUCUUUUUCCGGCAAAGCGAACAAAGCGCGAGAGUAACGUUGUUGGAAGGUUAGCGGCGUGCGUUCGAAAUUGAUCUGCAACAAAACAGGAUGUGAAAAUUUCCUGGCCUCGCUCUCGCAUGGGUUAUAUUUCCCUGAUCAACGGACAGCCACCGAUGCAAACAAUGCGACGGGGCUUCCAGCUGUGCCCGUCCCACAUGCCGCAAAGUUCACGCUAUUGAUUGUGAGGUUCUUUUGAAAUGAAAGGCCCCACUGAAAUAAAUCCAUGUCUGUGUGAGUGUGUGGCCCGGCCGCAUGCAGAGGGCCUCUUGCUGAACCUCAAGGCCGGGUUAUAUUUAGGUGGCUGUUUGGCGCCGCGAGUGCUUGAGUGUCUCCUGAUUGGGAGAGGCUGGCCGCAAGAAUAUGUUGCCAGCGUGUCUGACCGCCAACUUGCAGACCAUAUGUGGGAAAAGGCAAACGGACCUCGACGUGGUUAACGCCGCCGCUUAUCAUUAGCGCACGGGCACAUUGGUCGGUCUACAAAAGUAAAAGCGAGACUGAGAAAAUUGCUUUGUAGGCCGAGACGCUUUCUAACAUCGUCCCCACAAAUGCUUGACUUGGAGCUCAAACAGUGAACCGACGACGUUGUCGUAAACAAGCAGCAACAUAUCUCUCUGUGACGUUUAAAUGAGAAACACAUGGUUUCGCGCUACCUGCUACGCAAUGGACUGUUGUACAAAGAGGCGGACAUGCUAGCUAGCAGUUGCGAGUGAAAGAGAAAGAGAGGAGCCAAGGUGGCGUUAUGUCACGGGUCCAAAAAUAGCGAAUAGCAACAGUGUGGAUGUUUCGUAUGUGCCAGGAAAAAAACAAGUACAAUGAGCUAUAAUUUCUACCCAAGCAUCCCUUGUGAUGGCAGCGACUCAAGUUAGCGAUAAGGUAAGUUUAGCCAAUUGGCAAAAUUAAUGAGUAGGGGCUGAAUAACAAAUAUUAGCACUUGACCUCUUUACAUCCUUUAUAAGACUAGACAGGAACUAUCCAAACAAAACCAUAACUCUGGAGACACAGGCACCAAAGCAUCAGUCUUCGGUUGCCAAAAGUCAGCCCUCCACCUUUUGGAAUUUUGUGUAUUUCACACUGACAAACCAUCCGUGGCAGCGCUCCAUCUGACCUCGUUUCAGUGCAACGCUAAUGCCCACCGCCCUCCGCUUUGACAUCAAAGAUUUGACUGUGCAGUAACUGUGGCUGCUCUGUCCUGGGCAAAAGUCUCUGCCGCGUUAAUGGACGCACGCUUGCACAGGCACGUGUCAAAACACAUUCGGUACACUGUACAUAUGUGCGUCGUAUAACACACACCCACACCUGGACCUGCAUGUUUGGCUGAGGACAAAGUCUCCCUUUUUUGUCCCCAACUGCCACACCUCCACCAUAACCUCACGCAGCCUUCCUGGCACGCUAACAAGAUUGAGCCAUGUGAUUGUGGCCUUCUUUGUCCUCCGCACUUGUUUUCGCUGAUGACGAAGCCUUCAGUUUGUACAUUGCUGGGCGGGACGCAUUCAGCUCGGGAUGAACUGUGCUCCUGGAGACGACGGAGAGAUAACAGGUCGAGACUCCAGGAGGCCCCGAGAAGCUUCCCAGGGAAUUUGGUGGCGGGAUUGUUUGAAAACCAGAAUCAGAGACACACUGAUAGAAUAGUUAAUUGAGUAGUGAAGUCAGUCGAUGGCUGUCGAUAGGCUAAAGCUCCAUCGCAUCACAGAAAUGUCGAAAAUGGAGGGUAGUGGAACGCGAUACCACCUGCAUGCAAAUCUUAUUUAUGAACAUCAUCCGGGUCCAGCUCUCGUGGAAAAUUCCACUUUGCACCACGAAUAGACAUUAGAUAAUGAUUUAAGUUUUGCACAACUGCAUUCUUAGCUUUUGUCCUUUGAGCAAUAACACAUACACAUGCACACACAAUCGCACACUGCAGGAGGCAGGCCUUUGUUCGAACAGCUUGCACAUAAAUAGUGUCCAAAAAGAAGUUCCGUAAAGGACAAGGGUGUCCCGAUGAGAUUGGAAAUCGGAUUUUGAGGCCCUUGUUUACGCUCUCACCUCAUUGUUUUUAUUGUUUCGCGCUCUUAGGUCAUGACUUCAUACCACUCGCUUAUCAAGAGAAGGGGGAGGAGGUUUGUUUGCAGUUUUCAUCACUAAGCAAACGCAGUAAAUGCUCUCCGGCCAAGAUCAUCUGACAUGUUCUGACAGCAAUCAAAUAUUGAUUUAAAGGAGAUGAGGCAAAGCGUUGCAAAAUAUUCCAGUUGAAUUUAUAUCACGUGUGCUUGUUUUGACUAACUUUCUAAUUCCAUUCAUUGGCUUAAAAAAGUUUUUUAAAAA
Long non-coding RNA from Hippocampus comes (tiger tail seahorse), 5142 nucleotides. RefSeq lists it as uncharacterized. The record is from RefSeq and is a predicted model, not a curated record. The transcript is spliced from 3 exons. Lineage: Eukaryota; Metazoa; Chordata; Actinopteri; Syngnathiformes; Syngnathidae.